Molecule: long non-coding RNA, 3957 nt
Filed under: Sorghum bicolor (sorghum)
Lineage: Eukaryota; Viridiplantae; Streptophyta; Magnoliopsida; Poales; Poaceae
Description: long non-coding RNA (SBIC_LNC004830)
Source: RNAcentral
UCCACUCUAUCUCUCUCAAUCUAGUAGAAACUAGAAGAUCUAUUUCUACUUUACAUUGGUUGCUAAGCCUAAAAAGAAAUAUUAUUUAGAGAAGAGGUUUUCCUUCGAGGGCACCCCUCAAUCUCUAUGAUAAUUUCUUGUCUUCUCCGGGGGCCAGAGGGGGUCUCCUUAUAUAGUCCUCCCCUUCUAUGCGUUUUUGGGUCGAUAGGCGAGGUGGUACUAUGUUAUUCUGGAUCCAAUGGGUCGGUGGAACGUCGUGUGCGAAGAGAGUCCGGAACGGAGUCCAGAGGGGGGCGGGCGCCCUGGGCCUGGCCCCUUUCGGGCUCCGCUUCCUUCCCGUGGCUUCUGGAGUCUUCUAGAUGGUAGAAAAUUGCGCGGUGGGUUGAUAUCUCUAUGUAAUCCCGACAUGUGGGCCUUUCUUCCUUAUUUCCUGAUAACCCCCUGCAGAAAUAGACAAACACCAAAACUCGUGGAAUUCUGUUAGAUAAAACCCUAAGUCUAGAUGUUGAUUUCAUUUGGAUCCUUUUCUUUGUUUAUUUGAUAAUUAAAUUUGAUACUUAAGGACCGUCAACAAACUCCCCCAAGCUUACCUCUUGCUCGUCCCUGAGCAAGGAUAGACUCAGCUAUGGAUCAUAAGUAGUUGCAAUAUCUUUAAAAAUUUGACGGUACACAUGCUUUUAAAUAAGAUCUCAUCUCUGGGUUAGAGUAAAUUGUUAAGACUUAAAACUUACUUACUUUACCUACACCAUAUGACUUGUAACCGUCACUUCUGUCUUGAGUGGUUAAAAGAUAGAACAGUCUAGCCAAGUGCCAUGUCUCUUAUUCUUGAUCAGCUAUAGCUCUAGGGUUUUUGCAGAUUUUCAAAUAAAACUCAGAAAUUUCUUGUAUGAUUCUCUCAGGUCUCUCUUUUGUGGUAUUUUUGGAUCCUUACCAAGGCAGUGAUGGUAUAUGCCUUCUCUCAAGAUAUGUAGUAUUUGUGGUAUGAAGCAUAGUGACAUUGUCUUCUCUCUCACCCUACUCUAAUAAGGCUUUAAUAUCUGGAGCUCAUAGGUGGGAGAUAAAGUAUACAUACUUACAAGACAUUUAUUGCAUAGUCAAACCAUGGAUCCAAAGAAACAAAUCAAUAAGCCAAAUCAAGAUGUGCAUGUGUGGCGAAUGAAUGGUGUAUGGUGAUGAUGGUGAUAACAAUGGUGGUGGAAGUCUAAUUCUACUUUGCUCUUUGAGGGGAUACAUACCUUCCUUGCUUUUGAAACUUUAUGAGGAGAAUGAGAUGCUCUUCUUUUUUUUCUCUCAGGUGGGUAUCUUGCACCCCUAAUUCUACUGUCGGACACUUGUCCAUUUUUACCUCUCGUCUCACAUUUUCUUUUCUUUCGAGGUUCCGAGCACUUGCUCCUUUUUAUUUCCUCGUAUCUCUUUUUUUCUUUUUUUUUUCAGAGCAUUCAUCUCUUGAGAUAAUAUAGCAAGUGGUAGUAACAAGAUAACUUGAGCAUUUAUUUCACAAGGGGAAACAGAAAUAUUUUUGGUUAUUCUCUCCCAUAUUAGGAGUAGAAUACUUUUGGGUGGUUUUGGAGAUGGAAAUGAGUGGAUAUAUGUGGAUGGUACUUCCGGAGUAGAAGUAGCAUAUAUGAGUGAACGUGCAAGUGAAUCUUGAUUUAACCACAUGACAAGCUCCUAAGGGUCUACACAGCUUGACCACACUCAAUGCUCAUAAGCAGUAAAUAGUAAAUGUGUGGCUCAAGGUCUAGCAAGCAUGUAUAUAUGGCUGUGGUAGGAAUUUAAACUCUCAUCAUACAGGAACUCAUCAUGCAUCAUUUUAAAGAUUUUCACAGAUAAAAUUCUCUAGAAUUCUAGCAUCUCUAGGAACAGAUAAACAGCAGCUCAACCUUCCCAUAUCGUAUCCGUUAACAACUUAGACUUCAGAUCAAGUUUUCAUCCCACAAGUUUAGGUCUAGAGCAAGCCUUAAAUUAUAACAGUUAUGUCUAAACUUGAGAGAGAACUUCAAAUUUGCAAAUUAGGCAGAGCAACUAUUCAUCAUAUCCAUGCUUAAGUUUUAUUAUUAAGAUUCAAAUUAACAUAGCCACUUUAUUUAUUUAUUAAACACACUAAGCAAAAUAUAUAUAAGCAUAAAAUCUUUAUUUGGUUUUUCAUAGUUAUGUGUAUUUAUAUUCUAAAAUAAUAUAAGUAUGAAGAUAGAUAGAAAUACUUAUCGAGGUAAAUGGGGGUGCUCUCCCCCAAGCUGAAUUUUGACGUAAUUUCUCUUGAUGUAGCUAGCAGGUGGCAGAGGUGUAUUUGAAAGCCAGCAGCAUUCUGACAGCAAUUAGAAUGUCCUCCGUCUGCUAGUCUUCUUGAUUCUUAAAUUCUGUGGAGCUCAAAUAGACAACAAAGCUUGUGGAACUGAUUAAGUGUUAGCAUAAAUAUCUAGCCUUUAUUAUCUUGAGACUCCUUAAUAGUUAUUACUCCCUGUUUUUAUAUUUUUGUUUUUAUAAAGUAGAAAAAUAUUUAUUUUAUUUUUAUGCCACCACAGUGAAUGUACUUAUGGGUUUUAUGCCACUCGUCUACUCACAUGGGGCUUACUGUUUUUCACAUUUUUAUUUUCUUUUCAAGAUAGCAUGAACCUGAUUAACUAAGCAAACUAUAAUUGAAUAAUUGAAAGGAAAAGGAUAACUACCAAGUUUACCUCUUGGCAAGGCGUUCGGUGUUUUUAAGUCCUCCGAAUGGGACUCCUUGUGUUUUUAGUCGUCCUGGUAUUCGCUAGGUGGCGUAGUCGGUGAUUCCGGUGGCGCCUCCUCUUUGUGUAUAACUAUGUUCUCUUUCCAUACCUGACUCGGUGCUACGGUCUCCUCAGGACUGUUCGUUGUAUGUCUUCAGUCCUUAUCACUUCUCCUUCGUAGUCUACCCAUCCGUCCUUGAUGAUUUGCCUCCUCUGGUUGCGGUGGCGUUGUCUUCUUCUUGUCCUGACCUGCUUAGAAUCUUCAACUAUAUAGUUAGAAUCAUUAAAGUAGUGGCGUACCUUCUCAGAGGGGAAGUGCAUGUGGACAUCUCCGGUUCCAAUAUAGAUAAUGGCUUUGAUAGUGCUGAGGAACGGUCUUCCAAGGAUGGUGGAUGGAUCAUACUCGUCUUCUCCCAUGUCAAUGACCUGAAAAUUGUCUGAAGCUGAAUGUAUCUUGGUUGUAGGAGCAUGGUUCCAUGCAGGAGCUGAUAAGUGACUGCGGCCAUUAUGUUGUCGUUAGAUCCGGUGUCGCAAGCAUCUUCUAGAAGUUGUAUCCAUCAAUGGAGCACUGGAUGCUUGGCAUACUUGGGUCGUCCUUUUUGGUUAGGAACGGUGACUUAAGUUGACGAUCUUGACCCCUUUGAACUGCAGUGACCAUCUUAGCUGACUCAGUCCACAUUUGCUUGUUCUUGUUCCUCCUGUUGGUCCUCUUCCUUGGUUCAUGUCGGGUUUGCUCUGAAGCUUGUGUAGUCUUGUUCUUGAAGGAAACUCUCCUUCUUCCCCUUGAUGUAGAGACUGAUCUUGGCAGCAUUAGCGUAGAUGACUGCUCUGGUGUUUAGGAAUGGCCUCCCUAAGAUGAUGGGUGCUCUCUCCUCACUACCAGUCUCUAUCACCACGAAGUUUGCUGGAGUGUACAAGGUACCAACUCGGACACAGAGGUUCUUCAAUAUUCCUUUGGGAAGCUAAGUGUCUAAUCUCCAUUGUGUUUGUGCUCGUAGAUCUCGGUUCUUCACUUGAUGGAAUCUGAGAGUUGUAAAACGCCUUCACGUUUCUCAAAAUGUGUCCUGCUCAUAGAGACAAGGCUUAGAUCAAGUGCAUGGGCCCUGUUGGUGGAAAACACCAACAGAACCAAAAGUGUAUUUGUUCUUCUCUAACCUUAAGCAUAUUGAGCAAGACAAAGUUGAUGGAUCAUGAGUGUAGCAUUUAAAACAUUUGUUAGAUCAGAUGGCUCAACCUAAUGGAAAGA